CGAAGUUGUUCAUUCUAGGGGCCAACAACAUUACUAAUUCUUUAAGGUGUGUGUAUGCGUAUACAUUAUAUAUAUAUAAUGUACAUAUAUAUAAGAUAUAUAUAUAUAUCUUCAAUAUUGUGAUACUGUUGGCAGGAGGUGGGGAGCCAGGGUACAGGGGAAGUUCUGCAAAUUAAAAUAUAGCAUGAUAAAUUCUAGCCAGUUAUCCAAACCAAAUGAAAGGGAAUUAUUCCUAGAUUAUCAGAGGAACUCGCUGGUCAGAUGGCUAUUGAGCAGCCUAAUUCUCAACCUUUGUCUUAGGAAUCUAGAGAAAACAUUUUUCAGGAUCUUUGCUGGGACUUUCAAAGAAGAUCCAGGCAAGAAAGAAACAGUUUGUAUAUGUGUCUACACCAUGCAGCAUGCAUGUCUGGAGAGUGUGUGUGUGUGUGUGAGUGUGUGUAUCUCUUUGUGGGGUCAUCAUCUAACGCUCUUUGUGAUGCACAUUCUAAAUUAGGCAAAAGGGAUGCAAUCUUUCAAAUGCAGAUCAUGUUUGCAUUAGAAGAGCAAUGAGAACACUUGUCAGUUUCAGAACAUUUAUGUGCUAGAAGUACUGUUAGCAGAAGAGCAGUUUAGAUAAAUUCAAGACUUUUUUUGCUGAUCACAAACAUUAAGCUUCACACCUGAAGCCCUCAACCCCCUGCUGUGCUCUAAUCCUAGCACCAUUCACCCUUAGAGACUCAGAGUGCUGUGCCUCAGCUCUCAAACCUUUGAUUGCCCUUAGUUUGAAUGCCACCACCUGCAAAAUGCCUUUUUAUUCCCUUUGAGCCUCUUGAGAAGGAAGUAAAAAUGAUAAUUCAUGACAAACAUUAAUUAAUUGUUUACAAGAUGAUCUUUUCUUUUUCCAACUUCUGUUCAGCAGACAUGUUGAACCGCAAGAUCCCACUCGCAAUGCCAGAAUUCGUCAAGAGGCCUGCAUUGUUGUUUCUCACUGAGGCAUAGGACCCACUACAGGCCAUUGUUUCUCCAGCUCAAGUGGGCCUGUCUGGUUCACAUUGGAAGAAUGGGGGCGACAUGCGUGAGUUCCUGAGUAUAAAAGAACUACCGGUUCUAGGGAGGACUGGGAGUUUAGCACUAAUGCAGAGUAAAUAAACAU
This 1132-nucleotide long non-coding RNA is filed under the name Marmota monax (woodchuck). The record is from RNAcentral. Lineage: Eukaryota; Metazoa; Chordata; Mammalia; Rodentia; Sciuridae.